RNAcentral lists this ribosomal RNA (111 nucleotides) under uncultured eukaryote. RNAcentral describes it as "partial small subunit ribosomal RNA". The record is from RNAcentral.
UCGCACCUACCGAUUGAAUGGUUCGGUGAAAAUUCCAGACUGUAACCUUGUUCUCUUAAUUGAGGACGGGCCGCGGAAAGUUAUUUAAACCUCAUCAUUUAGAGGAAGGUG